Molecule: ribosomal RNA, 587 nt
Filed under: uncultured bacterium
Lineage: Bacteria
Description: partial 16S ribosomal RNA
Rfam family: Bacterial small subunit ribosomal RNA
Source: RNAcentral
UGGGGAAUUUUGGACAAUGGGCGAAAGCCUGAUCCAGCAAUGCCGCGUGUGUGAAGAAGGCCUUCGGGUUGUAAAGCACUUUUGUCCGGAAAGAAAUCCUUGGCUCUAAUACAGUCGGGGGAUGACGGUACCGGAAGAAUAAGCACCGGCUAACUACGUGCCAGCAGCCGCGGUAAUACGUAGGGUGCAAGCGUUAAUCAGAAUUACUGGGCGUAAAGCGUGCGCAGGCGGUUUGCUAAGACCGAUGUGAAAUCCCCGGGCUCAACCUGGGAACUGCAUUGGUGACUGGCAGGCUAGAGUAUGGCAGAGGGGGGUAGAAUUCCACGUGUAGCAGUGAAAUGCGUAGAGAUGUGGAGGAAUACCGAUGGCGAAGGCAGCCCCCUGGGCCAAUACUGACGCUCAUGCACGAAAGCGUGGGGAGCAAACAGGAUUAGAUACCCUGGUAGUCCACGCCCUAAAACGAUGUCAACUAGUUGUUGGGGAUUCAUUUCCUUAGUAACGUAGCUAACGCGUGAAGUUGGCCGCCUGGGGAGUACGGUCGCAAGAUUAAAAACUCAAAGGAAUUGACGGGGUCAUAGCUGUUUCCU